Eptesicus fuscus (big brown bat) is the source of this 645-nucleotide long non-coding RNA. RefSeq lists it as uncharacterized. NCBI's taxonomy places the organism in Eukaryota, Metazoa, Chordata, Mammalia, Chiroptera, Vespertilionidae. The record is from RefSeq and is a predicted model, not a curated record. The transcript has 4 exons.
UAUACUAAAGAGAAGCUGUGAUGCUGGCAACUGGAAUAUACUAAAGAGAAGCUGUAAGCUGUUAAGUGCUCCUUUAAGUGAAAAGAUGCUUACUCAAGCUGUGUGACCACCAGCCUACAAGACUGCACUGCAAUUCACUUGGAACUUCCUACAGGACCACCCAGAAGCUGCAGCUGGUGCUGCGGACGUGGGCGCCUGUUUACAUGAGAAUUGUUUGCAUUGCAAGUGACAUCUGGCUGACAGGAACUUGGAGAAAUGGGAUACGAAGUGAAUGCUGCAGUUACAACAAGCAUCAUAUUUAUCAAAAGGUUUCAGGAGUAAAAUCUAAGUUUGUUAUAGAAGAACAGAUUGUGGAUUAACCUGGAUCUGAGUUCAAAUUUAAUGCCCAGCUCUACGCAGCUGUGUGAUUUCCAGAAAACCAGUUCAUCCCUCUGACCCUCAACUUCCUCAUUGAAGAAUUGAGGCAGUGUUAUCAUUCAUUCAUUUAACCAUAGUGUAGUGAGCUCAUUUUAUGUAUAAGGUACCUUGGUAUACAUUGCGGACAUACAAGGAGUGUAACAUGUCUCUUGUCCUUGAGAGCUUACAGCCUCAUGGCAGUCAGUCAUGGAAAUGGGCCUGACAGGUCCCAGGGGAACACAGAUGGCA